CAUCUCUCUCAACAGCUGAAAUUGGCU
Molecule: non-coding RNA, 27 nt
Filed under: Mus musculus (house mouse)
Lineage: Eukaryota; Metazoa; Chordata; Mammalia; Rodentia; Muridae
Source: RNAcentral